Eublepharis macularius is the source of this 11159-nucleotide RNA transcript. RefSeq lists it as uncharacterized. The record is from RefSeq and is a predicted model, not a curated record. NCBI's taxonomy places the organism in Eukaryota, Metazoa, Chordata, Lepidosauria, Squamata, Eublepharidae. The transcript has 6 exons.
UAGCAGCGUAUCUGUCCCUGGUUUGCAUCCCAUGUUUUCAGAGUUUUCACAUUAGCAAGGCAUCCAUGGGACGCAGAGCCGCUGUCAGUCCGGGUUAUCCCCGAUUUUUCUCACUGCGGACAUACCGCGAAUUUUCCCAUAAUCCGCUGCCAACUCAAUGCUGAUCCGAUAAAUCCCAGUGUGAACACUUUUGUCCCUUUUUUGCUUCUCUCUCCCCCCGCUAAGUCUUGUCGUCGGAAGCUGAUUGGUCUGCAUCUCCAGCUCCCCAAAUGCUUCGUCCGCCAUUUUUUCCCCGCUACCUAAACAUUUCAGCGGUACAUCUCCAUUGGUGCCAUCUCUAUUCUUCUCUCCCCGUCUUUUGCAUCCUGAUAAGUUCGUGUUACGCGCCUCACAUUUCCAACCCCCCCCCUUAAAAAAAUGUUUGCCUAGCGGUGAGCGAUUGUGGUCAUGAUGAACCAAACGUUUCAGUGACAACCCCUCUCCACUCAAAACUCUCUGCAUUUUGACAAUUCAAUCAGGAACCACCAUCGACAUUUUCCAGUAAUGAAAAAUAAAAUUGGCCAUAACGUUUCUGCGUUCUGUGGAUGCAAAGGUGCAUUGAGACAUCUCCAAUUGUGUGUUCUACAUAUUUUGACUCCUUUUUUCGGGAUGGGAAUGGGGUUGGGGCAGUGGGUGGUGCCCUCAAACGAGGUUCAAACUCACCCCUUCUGGGAUCACGUGAUUUUUGUGGACCAAUGGGGUGCCAUUAUUUGCUGGGCGGGAAAUUCAACUCCUGCGAUCUGUGCCACCUCCGUGCACUGCUCAACGGUUGCUCAAGGAAAUGGCUGCACUAAAACCAACCAGUGGGAGAGGGGUCUCCUGGAGGGAGAAGGAGACAUUGGACCUCAUUGAAUUUUGGGGUGAGGAGAAGGUGCAAGAGGCACUAUUGCUCUGUCACAGGAACAUUGAUGUUUUCGAGCGCAUCUCAGAGCAGAUGGUGGCGAGAGGCCAUGCAAGAACCGCACUCGAAUGCCGGACAAAAACAAAAGCUUUGAGACAGGAGUACAAGAGGGUCGCGGCACACAAUGGAAGAUCGGGAAAUGCCCCUGCAACAUGCCCUUUCUAUGCACAGCUUGCAAGAAUUUUCAGAGGGGAUGCAAGCAUACGGCCACAAAGGGUGGCAAGAAGUCUUAACCUGCAGUCGGUGAGCAAUGCCGACCCCAUGGGGGAAGAUCGGUCGAACCAUGGCGUUCCCGCUCCAUGGGAGGGAUCAGAGGAACUAUUCACACAUCCAAUGGUCACUCUACAUCUUCAGGCGGUCCCCGCUUCCACUCCCAAUUAUUCAGGUUCUUCCACAGAACAAGAAACAUCAAUCGGAGAAGCCCCCCCAAUGGACAUGACCGAUCCAGAGGAUGAAAAUGCCGCAGACGAUCCAGAUUUAACUCAGAUAGAGGAGUUCCCGGAGGUGACAGGACAGGGUGCAGAGGAUCCGCAAGGAGAUCUGAACAAUCCACCAGCAGUGGAACAACCGCAGGUCCCCACGGCACAACUGUCUCCUGCUACACGCUUAGAAAAGGCGCGCACCAGAACCAGGCGCGUCUCUGUCCUCACCAACGUUGCAGAGAGAAUGCUAUCUCAGGCACAGAGGGAGGAACAAAACAACAGAAAGGAACGUGGAGAAAUUCUGGAGGCAACCAGCCAUUGGCGUGCAGCCAUGGAAUCAGAGACAAGAUGGCACGAGGACAUUAUCAGGGAGGCAAGAGAGGAUCGUAGGGCUUUUAUUGAGGCACAGUCACAAAAUAUGGAGGGGCUUAAUAGGGCUGUCGGUGCCCUCAGCUCCUUGACUGAACUCUUUGUCAGGGAGCAAAGAGCAGGCCCGGUUGCAGAAACUUCCCAAAAUGCCAACAGCAAAACACGCGAUAACGAUCAUGAGAAGGCACCACUAAGAAAAAGGGCUCGGAUCAUUAAAAAGAGAGAAAGAUAUGAUCCAUCCCUCUGAGCCCCACAUGUUUUUCCGGUGCAGCAUUUGGGUUGGAAUCUGCAUAUCACACGUAUCAUUGCUGUUGAAAUUAUGUUUGUCACAGCUGUAAUUGUGUUUUUCGAUGUUGGCGAGGGGUUGACAAUGGCCAUUGAAAAAAAUUGGUUUUUGUUUCCCACCGCAAUCCAGGUGCGGUUUGCCAGAUCUAUUUUUUGACCACGGUUGUUUGAAAUGUUGACCCAUGGGAGAAACUACACAGUUUUAAAUUUGUUUUUUAUUCUUUUCAAAACUUGAAAGAUUACAUGUGAGGCAUCAUAUGGACACUUAACUAACAUGCAUGUUAAAUAAAUCUUUUCUACAUCUCCUUAAACCUUGACAGCACAUUAUCAAUGUCGGACCUCAAUUUCUUGUUCUCCUCAUUCAAAUUCCUCACAUUGUUUUCUAGCUUCUUCACCAAGGCCUGCAGGCUGUCCAUCCUUCUGUUGGUUUUCUUUGCUGUGGAAACAAAAGGUGUAAGCGCAGAGUGGCCACUUCUGUGUUCACAAACGUUGUAAGUCAUUGAUGGUUACUUACCGCAGCUGAGGCAUGUUCCCACUGCCUUGUGAACAGUCUCCAGUAUCUCAAGGGGCUGUUCCCUUGCCAAAGAUGAAGAAGGCACAUUUACAGUGUGUAGUGGACACCGCGCUUGAAUGCAUUCCUCACAGGGGUCACCUGAAAAGGGGGUUUGGAGAACUUGAUUUAAUUUUGUUCAUUGUCAUUACAGAGCACGUGUUUAACAUGUGGCAGAAUGACGGUGUAGUUAGUUCCAUUUGUGUACCUGAAUGCUCAGUCAGCUGUUCUGGUGGAAUCACUGCUUGCUGAGGUGUGACUUCUUCAUUGAACUCGGAGCAGUUUCCCUCUUCUUGCUUCACUGCCUCAGAACUGGGUUGCAAGGCCAUUUCAUCCAUUGGCACGGUCACCUCUGAGCCUGUUUCCUCCGUGGGCUCCUCCUCCCCCUCAUGUCUGUAUGAUGUUGCUGGAGAAACACAUGAAGAGAAUUAAAACAUCAGUAAGAGCAGUAUUGAUGAAAUGUUAUGAACAAGGAAUUCUGACUAAUUCAAAAAAUGGGGCAAGGGAAUGUUGAAAUGCUGAUCACCCUAGGCAACCGAUGCUGUAUCAUGUGUAGGGAUUUAGGGAAUGCCGUUUAGAUUAGAAGGCCGGUUUGGGAUCUUGGGCAGGGAGGGGGGGGAAUACCCAUGGAGGAAUGAUAAGGGCUGAGGUGUGUGGAAUGCUGUUUUUACUUACCGCACAGUAGCCGAGUCAUCUUUAAGAGAACACAUUAAAAAUAUGUGCCGACAUAAACCAUAAACCUUUCCCAAAGAACAGAAACAAAACAACUUUUAAACAUGGUGGGAUAGUCUUCAAGGACAGGGCACAGUCCCAGUGCCGUUCAGUGCCACGUGUUCCUGUGUUCCAUGUGCUGAUCCCAACACAGCAUGCCUGUUCUGGGGUUUUUCCUUGAAAACUUCCAUCCAACAUUCCUCUCAUUCAGGAAAUUGGUGCCUUGUACCAACAUACAUUUCCAUCUUAGUGAGGGGAUUGGGAUGGGUGAGGGGGGGGGGAAGACACGGUGUUUGAUGAUGGUGCAAGGGGGGCCCAUCUCACUUAAAGCAUGGUGAAAACAUUUUUAGAGGUGUGCCUUCACAAAAUAAACAUCCCACAGUACUUCAUUUACCUUCAUGGUGGACUCCAAAACAAGGUGCCCCAUUCUUCAAACAAUAUCCAUGUUUCUAUAUGGAGAAAAAGGAAUUCAUCUUCCCAGGUAGUUCAGGGUGGCCUUUUGUAAUCAAAAUGCUGCCAACUUUCAUGGUGCCUGCUCCCACCUGUCCUAACUUCCUCUAACAUGGUUCAGGCAGAUGCCGGUUGGGUGGUCCUUUUAAUGGACUGAAAAAUAUGUUGUUCUUGGCACCCUCUUUCUCCAUCAUCUCCCACGUUGAAAAUAAGAGAGGCUGGUCGUUCUGGGGUUAGGAAUAUUGCAUGAAAGAUGCCCAGUGACAUCAGGGGAACGUUUCCUACCUGUCCUCCAACCCCCCAAGCAAGCACCAAGGCAAACCAACCUGGAGGGGGGGGGCAUUUGGUUCCACCUCGAAGGGCGGUUCUCGUGCCACACAACUUCGUGCCUUUAACUGUGCGGUAGACCAGACACCGUCUACAUUGGUGGUGGGGGAGAACACCAAAGGGCAUCUGGAGAGCUGGGUGUGAUUCCCCACUCCUCCGCUUGAAGACAGCUGGGUCACCUUGGCCGAGUCACAGUUCUUUGGAGCUCUCUCAGCAACACCCACCUCACAGGGUGACUUUUUUGGGGGAAUAAUAACAGUUAGUAAACCGCUCUGAGUGGGCAUUAGGUUGUCCUGAAGGGCGGUAUAUAAAUCGAAUGCUAUUAUUAUUAUUAUAGGGGAAAAUAGGGCACAAGUCACCUCACCUUACAGAGCAACCCAAAACACAAUUGCUAUAAGAAAGGAUUUUUUAUGUCACUUGUUUGAAUAUAAAAACCGGUGGGUGCAGACCUAAGGCCGUGACAGCAUUCCCUCAACCAGAGAGAUAACACUACGUAAUUCACACACAAUAAUCCCCCGAUCAAAAUUGCUGGCAGAAUUUGUGCAUGCUAUUUGUGUUAUUUGGUGUUGUAGGCUGCUUUCGUGUCCUGUUGUGCCCACCAAAUGGGAACCUGAAAGACCUUAAAGAAAUAAUUUUUUUUAUUUCCCGUGAUAGAGUUUGGUUUAAUUCUGCACAGUAUGGUUAGUUGUGUUAUGUACUGCCUGUGUUAUGUCUCACACUGUCCUUCUCAAUUUUAGUUUGAAGGAGAGAAUGGUUUUUUUAUAAUAGAGUACUUUGGUGUGUGGUUGUCAUUUUUCCUUUGUUCUGUAGGUGGUUCCCAUCGCAGGGAACACUGUGGAAGUGUGACGUUGGGGGAGGGUGUUUGUGGAUCUGAUGCUGUUUCACACGGAUAAGCUAGCAUUCAACAGUGUGCUGACCAUCUUGGCACCCCUGGGCUGUGCAAUGAUGAACCCUUUUUUUCACUUUCUCUCUUUGUGGAAACCCCUCCUGCUCACUUGAUGCCCACCAAACAGAACAUUUCUUACCAUGAUGUUAUAAAAAUUUAUUUCAAAACAGGAAUGGAACAAUGAGAAUUCACUCAUUAGAUCAUCAUUGAAUCUCUAAACAAAGCUUUCUAACAAACCAUGUUUCAUAGGAAUCCAGCACUUGCAACUGAAUGCAUGACACAUCCAAUCAAGGCAAAACCAACAAGAAACAUUUUUUGAAACCGUGAGUCCAACCUCUGAACAUGCAACAAGUUCAACCACAGAUUUUUUCACAAUCAGACUGAAGAGUUUUUUAUAUUGUUAGAUUUCUCUGUUUCGAAACAUGUGGCGUGCAAGGGCAUCGCGCACCAACUUCCCCUCCUCCCGGUGCCUUCUGUCUCCCACAGGGAGUUCAAGAGAUUCCUCAUCCACCUCCACAGGCCUCACGGGAGAAUCAUCCUCUGGAAUGCCAUGACCUUUCAAUUCACAAAUGUUAUGUAGCACCACACACGCGGUAGCUAUGCAGGUCACAUUCUCCUCCGCAACCAUAAGCUGUGACCUCAAACACCUCCAGCGCCCCUUCAAACGUCCGAAACAUCUUUCCACUAUGGUCCUAGCUCUGGUGAGGCAGCGGUCAAAGUAUGCUUCUGCGGGAGUGUGGGGCCUAUUGAAGGGCUUCAUCAGCCACCUUCUCAUGGGGUAGGCUGCAUCAGAUAUGAUGAGUGGUGGCACGGUUACACCCUCUAUUGUAAGACUGGGGUUGCCUGGCACAAACACCCCCGCAUCCAUUGCCGUACAAAUUGCAGAAUUCACAAAAACAAAGGCGUCAUGGUUCCGCCCACUCCAGCCAACCUCUGCAUCAAUGAAUCUUCCAGUAUGGUCCACCGUGCCCUGGAUGAGAAUGGAAUUGAAUUUCUUGCGGUUGAUGUACUCCCGUCCACGGCCUUUAAAUUUGCAAAUGGCAACAUGGGUGCCAUCAACUGCACCAAUGCAAUGAGGAAAGCCAAGUUUCUGAAAUCCAGACAUAAUCUGCAAUGAAAGAGAAAAAAACAAGAUUGCUGUUAGAGAGAAUCCCCUCUUUCUCCCACCGCCUAUAUUCAUAAUCUCCUCACUACAGCGCUGAGGCAGUCUCACAUCUCCAGAAUCCAGAGGAGUUAGCCAUAGUCUGUACUAGUGAAAUAAAAAAGAGUACAGUAGAACCCUCAGCACUUGCAAAUUUUACUGUAGCUCAAGCUUUUGAGAAUCACAGUUCGCUUGUUCAAACGCACAAGAAAAAAGGGAACCGCGACUCUCGAAAGCUCAUGGCACGAUAAAAUUGGUUUAAAGGUGCAGCUCAUUGCCUACAUGUCAGCAACAUAGUUUUUUGUGCUUCAAAUUGUAAUCUUUGACCAGUACAGUUUGAAUGGAGACUGUUACUCUGGGAGAUGAGUGCGUACUCACCCUCGCCACAUCAGGUCCAAGGCACACGACUCUACUGAGUAGCUCCAAUUCUAUCGCCAAGCAGACCUCCAAGACGAUUCCUGCCACUGUUGAAAUACCCACUCCGAAUUGGUUCAUGCAUUGACGGUAAGUCGAACAGUUGGCAAGAUACCAAAGUGCUAUGGCGACUCUCAUCUCCACAGAGAUUGGAUUGCGAAGUCUGGUGCGCUGACGGGAAAGACGGUGCCCUAUGGAAUGAACCAAUUCAUUGAAAGUCUCCCUGGUCAUACGAAAAUUUUCAAUCCACAGCUGGUCAUCCCAUAUGGCAGUGACGAAAUUGUCCCACCAGUCCCUGCUACGGGGAUAAAUCCAGUAGCGACGGGGGACUCUGAUUCCGGCUACAGCGAGAAAACGUGCUCUGUUCAUUGCUGUUCUCCUUGUUCUCCAUAAAGGCGGAGGUAUGCACCUCAGUGCAAGUGAUUUCCUAAGCAUUCUCCUUCUUCUAACCACUCGCAUCCAGUAACUGUUGCAGGCAUCGAUCGAUCGCUGAAUAUAGAUAAAGAUGAUGUGAAGCAAGGCCAGUGCCAAUGCUCGGACCGCAGACAUAAUUCAGCAGAAUAAAAUCGGGCUCAAAAAAUCCUCCGCAAUUCCAAAGUAUGCCGUGAGACAAAUGUGUUCACAAGAGUGGAGAACGCACAGUUCCAAGGAAAACUCCCGCCCAAGUUGGCCAGCCUAUCAUCGUGGCCACAUUUUUGGCGGGAGAAAAAUCAUGACUUCCUAGAGGGGAGGAAGGACAUUUGCUAGGGAUAGUUGUGCUUGUGUCUUUUAGGGCAAAGAGCAUAGAGUAGACUUGCAGGAGCAGAUUGACCAGUUCUUCCACUCAAAUGUCGCGAUGACUACACAUGUGAUGGAGCAAAAUUAAGAGGGGCGGAUUACAGUGGAUUGAUGUGUUGACCCCCUCCCCAGUCCAGUUUUCCUGACUCUGAAACACCUAAAAAAAAAAAAAUAGCGGUAUGUAUGUUUUGUGAAGUAGCGCUUUGUUUUAUUAAAAAAAAAGUACUCGGUCCCGUUUUUUUCAAGCACAAGGAAUGCAGUCAGUCUAAAGCGUUGUGUGAUUCUUUGCCCUGUCAAUUCGCACACGCACCACUGUCUUGUUCGGUUCCCACAAUUUCUUUCCCCUUUACUAGUCACGUGAUGGAAAAGAAAUCGAGUUUCACGUUCAUCCAUCCACGAAAGAGUAAAAAACGGUGCGGUAGGGUAGGAAAUCUUGUCCUAGAUUUUUUUUUAAAAUGGUUUAUCUGUGUUCACCACGAAUUAAACAAAAAUACACUUCAAUGUCACAGUCACAAGUCCACACGCUUCUGAGAAAUUAUCAUAAGCCUCCACUUGAUCUGUCCACCAAAAUAAAUUUUUACUUGAGAACAUUCCAUGUUUUUGGCGGGCACUAAGACGAUUGGCUAAAAUCGUUGAGGGGGCGGGCGGAUGAAAUGGGAGACCAAUCACUCUUGAGAGAACUUUUUGGAAUUUGUGUGUGGCGCAGUUCACUUGGUGCAAAAUGAUUUCCCGGCGUCAUGGAAAUGUCUGGGAAGUGGAGGAGGUAUCUCUUCUUCUGAGGGUUGUUCGGAGGAGUGGGCAUGCAUCUCGGUUAAUGGCCAGCACGCAAUCAAGCAACCGCGGCAUCUAUCGAUUUCUUUCAAGAGUGCUACGCAGUCGCGGAUUUCAUCGAACGGCCAACCAGUGUCGAAGCAAAUUCCAAAAACUGAAGUCCGAUUUCAUUUCAUCAAUGGAGGCACUGCAAUGCAUUCCUAGAAGCAGUCGUAGAAUUAGGGUGCACAACGCGAUGAUGCUAAUCUGGAAGGCGGCAGGGAGGCCUCGAUGUCAAGAAAGACCUCAUGAUGGUGAGUUUUUUGAACCCCCCCCCCUUCCAUGGCGGACCAUGCAAGUCCCCCAUGUUUAAUGACACCUUUUUAGUGGCAUGUUCUCAAAGAGACUUCAUUCCUCAUUAACAAAUGGGUGGUUUUUGAAGUCAACCUUCUGUUUGUCACGCUCUAAUUUUAAUCUUCGAAUUAUUUGUCACGAUUGGAAAGCCAUAGAGUGUUCUUAGAGAAAUACCAUCUCCUCAAAAGCAUCUUUCAUGUUAAUAUGCAAUUCCCCCGGUCACCACUUUUAUGCUAUGCAUCCUGUUUGAUCCCUUUAACUGAAUGCCUGGAUCAUAAAAAGCAAAGUAAGUAAAGGGAAACAUUAUCAGGGCGAUCAUUCCGUUUUUUACCAUUGUUCAAAUGAUUUUUCAUUUCAGAGAUUAUCUGUGAAAGAGCAGUCAAGAUUGAAGAAACUUCAUCUGAGGAUGAUGAGAAUUCAGAAACUGUUGCAGUGGAAUCAUCAAGUGCAGCAGAAUCUGAUGCGCAAGCCUAUGCACCUCUUGGAGUGACAACUGAAGACCCAGCAAAGAUCAAUACAGCAGCAGUUCCUCAAGCUUCAGAGAGAGAAAGAACAGAUGACAGUGGAUCUCAUUGCCUAGAAACUGAAGAAACCGUAAUCGUUAUAUCUUCCGGCAGUAGUCACGAAGAAGCAACUGAUGACAUGACUGCUCCUGAAACCAUAAUGCCCGGAGAUGUAUCUCCACAACCGAGUACCUCAGCUUCUUUAGCAACACACAGUGGUGCCGCAGUGAGAAAGUAUGCCAUGAGCGCUGAGCACAAACUUCACAUAAUUGAGGAAACAACUUCUUCUGAUGCUGAGGAUGAGGACAGAAACGCCGUUGAGGAAGGCAGAACCGAGGAUGCAGAGGGAACUCCAGUUCUCUCAUUUUCCACAGGCACGUUUUAGCUAUGCCACAUUUGAGUGGAGUUACAUUUUUCGCUGAUUUAUUUUGCUGGGUGACACUUCAAUAUCUGCCUAAAAUAUUGACUGACUUUAAUUUUGCAGGUGAUACUUCAGCGGGAGGUUUGCGUGACAUGAUGCCAAAUAAAGACCAAUCCGCUGAUAUUGGCGAGAUCUAUCGUAGUAUGCAGGGAAUACAAUCUCUAUGUCUAUCAAGAAGUAAGUAUGACUAUUCCAAGGAAAACUUGAGGCAGAGUUUGGUGUGGUGUUUCUGAUCACGCGGCUCAGAUCAGGCGCGACAGUACCAAUCCCACAUCACGUAUGGAAGUCAGUAGGGAAACAUUCACCGAGUCAUUGAUAUGUGGAUUCAUAGAUCCAGAUAAGUCAUCAGUUCUAGUCUGUGGUCACAUAAUCAAAUAGUGUCCGUUCAAAACUAUUGACAUAACCGAUGUAAUUGAAGCACAUUUCAUGAAUCACUAGACUAUUUGGCAGAUGCAAGUAGGCACAAAGGAUACAUUUUUCAUAGGUUUUGAACGCGUGGUGGGUGCAGGGUGGAUUCAAACAACUCCUUCCAAUAUGUGGAUGCAAACAUCUCCCCCUGGUAUGCAGAUCAGUCCAUCCCUGUAAUGGGUCAUAGGAGUGGCCACGUUAGUCUGCGGUUGCAGAAUAAAAGAGACUCCUCCGGCACCUCCGAGAACAACCACUUCCAAUGUUGCGGAUUCCUUUGAUAACCAGGGCUCUCCCCACCAGAUAAAGUUUGACAAAGAGAACUGUGAACACCAAAAGCCAAAAUAUCGGCUUUCGUGGAACACACAUCUCUCCGUCAGAUGCGUCCAGUGGUGAGAGCUAUGUUUCUCCACAGAUUUUGCUGCAUUAGUUUCAGUUGGUCUGGGAGGUGAGGCCAUACUCUUUUGCAAUUUGCAAACAUGUAGUUAUAGCUUGGCUUCCAUGUACCUUAUCAUGGGCAAAAUGAUCUCAAUAUCAUAAGAAUAUGGUUGCAUUGGCAUAUCAGAUGGAAAUGUAAGCAUCUACCCCACAGUGUCCACUCCUUUUAUGCACCUAACCAUUAUCUUUUGACCCACUAUGCAACGUACAAAGAGCGCAACUCAUAACGACAACUUACGCUUAAAUUAAAUGGGUCAGUAUCAAGGGUACAACUGGACUCUGUUUGAUUUUGUUUUCUGGAGCCAUCUCAGCACCACCAACCGUACCUGGUGAUUGUUUUGUGGAUAUUUUCAAACCUUGAAAAAUGCCAGGAAUGGCCUUCAAGUUUUCCACAAGGAUUAAAAAAAAUUGUUUGUCACUGGUGUGGUUUUGAUAACCGCAAAGUUCUCGCAAUGUCGAAACCCAUCUCUUCAUGAAGAAAUAAAUUUUUUUGCUGUUUCUCAACAGUGGGAAGAUACCAUGAAAGAAUAUGCCGAUUGGAGAGAAACAAUAGAAGCCUUCACAAAGAACUGAGUUCUCUAAAGAAAAAGGUUUCUGCACUUGAGCGAGGUCAUCGUAGCUCAGGAUCAGAGCAAUCAGGAGAUGACAAGAAGAAUUAGCCAGUGUUAUGUCAGCUUGAAGAAUGUUUAAGCAAUAUUUUAGUUUGUUUCAGAAAGAAAAAAAAUGUAUGUUUAAAAAUAACGUAAUGGAAGGAAAGAUUACAAUUGACAACUCUCACAUGUCAAUUAUUUCCAGUGCUUUAUGAAUCAUGUUGAAGUUGUUUGCAAUGUGGAUAAUAAUUUCUCAUGAACAGCAAAAGCAAGAUCUUAUUUUCAUUUUUUUCUAAUCACUGUGUGGUUCUAAUGUCAUGCAAAAUUGGAAUUUUGAAUCAGUGACAAGAUUUUUGUUCCUUGGUGUUGGGAAGUCUGUGUUAUUUGUUUCUGAUAAAUAAAUCUGUUUUCAAUGUUAAAAAAUAA